AUACCCGCUGAACUUAAGCAUAUCAAUAAGCCGGAGGAAAA
RNAcentral lists this ribosomal RNA (41 nucleotides) under Pyricularia oryzae. RNAcentral describes it as "partial 28S ribosomal RNA". The record is from RNAcentral. Lineage: Eukaryota; Fungi; Ascomycota; Sordariomycetes; Magnaporthales; Pyriculariaceae.